UGAAAGCCUGGGGUGCCCCGCGAGGGGAGCCCUAGCACAGGUGCUGCAUGGCCGUCGUCAGCUCGUGCCGUGAGGUGUUGGGUUAAGUCCCGCAACGAGCGCAACCCCCGCCGUUAGUUGCCAGCGGUUCGGCCGGGCACUCUAACGGGACUGCCCGCGAAAGCGGGAGGAAGGAGGGGACGACGUCUGGUCAGCAUAGCCCUUGCGGCCUGGGCGACACACGUGCUACAAUGCCCACUACAAAGCGAUGCCACCCGGCAACGGGGAGCUAAUCGCAAAAAGGUGGGCCCAGUUCGGAUUGGGGUCUGCAACCCGACCCCAUGAAGCCGGAAUCGCUAGUAAUCGCGGAUCAGCCAUGCCGCGGUGAAUACGUUCCCGGGCCUU
Molecule: ribosomal RNA, 384 nt
Filed under: uncultured Thermus sp.
Lineage: Bacteria; Thermotogati; Deinococcota; Deinococci; Thermales; Thermaceae
Description: bacterial SSU rRNA
Rfam family: Bacterial small subunit ribosomal RNA
Source: RNAcentral